GCAACUAACUUUUCAUGUUCCAAUAUUUGCAUAGAUUCAGUCAAUGGCCUGUGGAUAACGAUGAAAGAAUACUAUUGCUAUAAAUUGCAUACACGGCCAAACAUAUUCAACCCAAUAUUGCAUGGCGGACGACUUUUCCAGCAGUUUGCUGUAGAUACAUACAUCAAGAUUGAAAGCUCUAGACUAGAUUACAUCUGGCAUCAUAAAAAGGAAAUAAGGUCAGAUCUAUAUCAAGGCCUUCUAGACAGCAUUCAAGCUGGAGAAGAAAAGGGAAACGCAGUCGGAAAAUAG
This 291-nucleotide ribosomal RNA is filed under the name Triticum aestivum (bread wheat). RNAcentral's name for it is "partial small subunit ribosomal RNA". Lineage: Eukaryota; Viridiplantae; Streptophyta; Magnoliopsida; Poales; Poaceae. The record is from RNAcentral.